Molecule: ribosomal RNA, 802 nt
Filed under: uncultured fungus
Lineage: Eukaryota; Fungi
Description: SSU rRNA
Rfam family: Eukaryotic small subunit ribosomal RNA
Source: RNAcentral
GUGCCAGCAGCCGCGGUAAUUCCAGCUCCAAUAGCGUAUAUUAAAGUUGUUGCAGUUAAAAAGCUCGUAGUUGAACCUUGGGCCUGGCUGGCCGGUCCGCCUCACCGCGUGUACUGGUCCGGCCGGGCCUUUCCUUCUGGGGAACCUCAUGCCCUUCACUGGGCGUGUUGGGGAACCAGGACUUUUACUUUGAAAAAAUUAGAGUGUUCAAAGCAGGCCUUUGCUCGAAUACAUUAGCGUGGAAUAAUAGAAUAGGACGUGUGGUUCUAUUUUGUUGGUUUCUAGGUCCGCCGUAAUGAUUAAUAGGGAUAGUCGGGGGCAUCAGUAUUCAAUCGUCAGAGGUGAAAUUCUUGGAUUGAUUGAAGACUAACUACUGCGAAAGCAUUUGCCAAGGAUGUUUUCAUUAAUCAGUGAACGAAAGUUAGGGGAUCGAAGACGAUCAGAUACCGUCGUAGUCUUAACCAUAAACUAUGCCGACUAGGGAUCGGACGGUGUUAGUAUUUUGACCCGUUCGGCACCUUACGAGAAAUCAAAGUUUUUGGGUUCUGGGGGGAGUAUGGUCGCAAGGCUGAAACUUAAAGAAAUUGACGGAAGGGCACCACCAGGCGUGAGCCUGCGGCUUAAUUUGACUCAACACGGGGAAACUCACCAGGUCCAGACACAAUAAGGAUUGACAGAUUGAGAGCUCUUUCUUGAUUUUGUGGGUGUGGUGCAUGACCGUUCUUAGUUGGUGGAGUGAUUUGUCUGCUUAAUUGCGAUAACGAACGAGACCUUAACCUGCUAAAUAGCCAGGCCCGCUUUG